CGCCUCCUCCUGCCGGCGGCAGCAGCCCCCCCCCCUUCUCCCCGGGGAGGGUCCCCGCGCCGAGCCCCCGCCGGCUCCUGCCCGCACCUGAGGACCUCUGCCACCAGCCCGAGCAGCGCCUGUGGGGGCACAAGAGGUGACCAGAGGCAGCAGAGCCACGAGGGGCCUCGGCGAAGUCCCCCUUGUCCCCGCUGCCACCCACCACAGCAAACGCCUUCCUCAGGGUCAUCGGCUGCCAGAGAACAGACCCAGGUUGAGGAGCUCCCUUCUGACCUGCUGCUCCCUCAGCAAAGCCCCAACACAUUGUCAAUUCACGUAUGUAUGUCCUGAUCCCAAGGUGUCUGGAAAAGUGCUUUUCCUGCAGAGAGUAGCUUAUAAAUCUGCUUUCAGGGCACCUGAGUCAGUGGGGACGGUUCGCUUUUAAUUAUUAUUCACAGUAUAUGCAGAAAAAGCACUUGGGCUGUCCCACUGACUCUGCAAGUCUUCCUUGUAUGGAAGAGACUGAAAGUUUGGGAGAAAAAAAAACAACAAACUUCAACCCUCUCUCUCUCCAUAAACUCCAAAGUAAAAUCUGCAAGAAAACAGACUUCAUUUGUUCAAGUCUUCAUGCAACCAUUUGGUUCUAUUAACCUACCCCUUGAAAAGCAAAGCAAUUCAUACAGAGAGCAGAAAACCCAGCUCCUCUGGCGUGCACAGACACAAGGACCUGUACAGACAAUAUGUGAAUAACAAAUCUGCAGAAAUGUAUCUUUGCUUAGAUACCAGCUGUGAGCAGAAAAAGUUCCCUGUGUGCAGAAUGAAGACAUCACCGUGCUAUUGAGCUUAGACCAGCUGACUGAAGGAGAGGUACUAAGUGACAUCAGCCUCUCCGUCAGAGCCACCCCAAGAGCUGGUCGCUGUGUCCUGCUGGCUCAGUAGAGCUGCCCUUGCAGGCAAGGGUCACGCUCUUCCUGGGGGGUUUGCAACCCGAGCAGGAUGAACGGGGCACAGCUGUUACCCAGCAUUGAA
Molecule: long non-coding RNA, 1008 nt
Organism: Anas platyrhynchos (mallard)
Lineage: Eukaryota; Metazoa; Chordata; Aves; Anseriformes; Anatidae
Source: RefSeq, a predicted model, not a curated record